This 373-nucleotide ribosomal RNA is filed under the name uncultured organism. RNAcentral describes it as "partial 16S ribosomal RNA". It matches the Rfam family "Bacterial small subunit ribosomal RNA", at positions 527 to 896 of the family's 1533-position model. The record is from RNAcentral.
GUAGGUGGCAAGCGUUGUCCGGAAUUAUUGGGCGUAAAGCGCGCGCAGGCGGUUCUUUAAGUCUGAUGUGAAAGCCCACGGCUCAACCGUGGAGGGUCACUGGAAACUGGAGAACUUGAGUACAGAAGAGGAAAGCGGAAUUCCACGUGUAGCGGUGAAAUGCGUAGAGAUGUGGAGGAACACCAGUGGCGAAGGCGGCUUUCUGGUCUGUAACUGACGCUGAGGCGCGAAAGCGUGGGGAGCAAACAGGAUUAGAUACCCUGGUAGUCCACGCCGUAAACGAUGAGUGCUAAGUGUUAGGGGGGUUUCCGCCCCCCUUAGUGCUGCAGCUAACGCAUUAAGCACUCCGCCUGGGAGUACGGCCGCAAGGCUG